UACGAAGGGGGGCUAGCGUUGCUCGGAAUCACUGGGCGUAAAGCGCACGUAGGCGGAUCUUUAAGUCAGGGGUGAAAUCCCAAGGCUCAACCUUGGAACUGCCUUUGAUACUGGGGGAUCUCGAGUCCGGAAGAGGUUGGUGGAACUGCGAGUGUAGAGGUGAAAUUCGUAGAUAUUCGCAAGAACACCAGUGGCGAAGGCGGCCAACUGGUCCGGUACUGACGCUGAGGUGGCGAAAGCGUGGGGAG
RNAcentral lists this ribosomal RNA (248 nucleotides) under uncultured bacterium. RNAcentral describes it as "partial 16S ribosomal RNA". It matches the Rfam family "Bacterial small subunit ribosomal RNA", at positions 524 to 768 of the family's 1533-position model. The record is from RNAcentral.